GUCUUUGUAGUAUAACAAUUACUUUGGUCUUGUAAACCAAAAAUGGAGGACAUCAUCACUCUCCCUAAGACU
Molecule: transfer RNA, 72 nt
Filed under: Neophoca cinerea (Australian sea lion)
Lineage: Eukaryota; Metazoa; Chordata; Mammalia; Carnivora; Otariidae
Description: transfer RNA-Thr
Source: RNAcentral